CCCUUCAGUGCGCACAGCAGGAGCAGCAGGAUAUGGUGUGUUUCACAGCGCAGACCCUGGUGAGGGUGCUCUCUCACGGAGGGUACAGGAAGGUGCUCGGCCUCGAGGGAGAUGCCAGCUGUAAGAACAUGAAUUUUGUACAAAGCUUCCUGUUUGAUGAUUUUAUGUUUAUAUUAAUGCUGUCAAAAUUAUCGCGUU
Molecule: long non-coding RNA, 198 nt
Organism: Notothenia coriiceps (black rockcod)
Lineage: Eukaryota; Metazoa; Chordata; Actinopteri; Perciformes; Nototheniidae
Exons: 3
Source: RefSeq, a predicted model, not a curated record